RNAcentral lists this long non-coding RNA (252 nucleotides) under Daucus carota (carrot). RNAcentral's name for it is "long non-coding RNA (DCAR_LNC000412)". The record is from RNAcentral. Lineage: Eukaryota; Viridiplantae; Streptophyta; Magnoliopsida; Apiales; Apiaceae.
GUGUUGAUGGUGAACUUGAUGGAGGGGGUUUGUAGGUGAAGGGCGAUGGAGGAGUUUCGGGGGAAGAUGAUGUUGGAGGAGGUGUUAGGCAUGCAUUGAUCGGAGGUGAUGGUGGAGGAGGAGGUGUUAGGCAUGCAUUGAUCGGAGGUGAUGGUGAUGGUGAAGUUGAUGGCGGAGACUUAUAGACGUAAGGAGAUGGAGGAGAUUCUUUUGGUGCCGGAGAUGGAGAUGGUGGAGAUUUAUAUACAAAAG